GAUGAACGCUGGCGGCGUGCCUAAUACAUGCAAGUCGAGCGAACAGACGAGGAGCUUGCUCCUCUGACGUUAGCGGCGGACGGGUGAGUAACACGUGGAUAACCUACCUAUAAGACUGAGAUAACUUCGGGAAACCGGAGCUAAUACCGGAUAAUAUAUUGAACCGCAUGGUUCAAUAGUGAAAGACGGUUUUGCUGUCACUUAUAGAUGGAUCCGCGCCGCAUUAGCUAGUUGGUAAGGUAACGGCUUACCAAGGCAACGAUGCGUAGCCGACCUGAGAGGGUGAUCGGCCACACUGGAACUGAGACACGGUCCAGACUCCUACGGGAGGCAGCAGUAGGGAAUCUUCCGCAAUGGGCGAAAGCCUGACGGAGCAACGCCGAGUGAGUGAUGAAGGUCUUCGGAUCGUAAAACUCUGUUAUUAGGGAAGAACAAAUGUGUAAGUAACUAUGCACGUCUUGACGGUACCUAAUCAGAAAGCCACGGCUAACUACGUG
RNAcentral lists this ribosomal RNA (497 nucleotides) under uncultured bacterium. RNAcentral describes it as "partial 16S ribosomal RNA". It matches the Rfam family "Bacterial small subunit ribosomal RNA", at positions 28 to 507 of the family's 1533-position model. The record is from RNAcentral.